GGUGGCUCAGUGGUAGAGUGCUUGCCUUGCAUGCAUGAGGCCCUGGGUUCGUUUCCUCAGCACCA
Molecule: non-coding RNA, 65 nt
Organism: Dipodomys ordii (Ord's kangaroo rat)
Lineage: Eukaryota; Metazoa; Chordata; Mammalia; Rodentia; Heteromyidae
Source: Rfam